This 535-nucleotide small RNA is filed under the name Pongo abelii (Sumatran orangutan). Its description in RNAcentral is "retained intron". The record is from RNAcentral. Lineage: Eukaryota; Metazoa; Chordata; Mammalia; Primates; Hominidae.
ACUGAGAUGAUCUUUAAGAUCCUGCCCAGUUGUUACUCAUUCUAGGAUUCCACUUCAUAACUGGAAGGAAAUCCAGUGAUUACAAACUGGCCUUUUUUCUAAUGUUGCUGUCUCAAAAUUUGUAUCUUAGAUUGAAGCUCCCAGAGAGAAGUUUUGUGCACUUGGAGAAUGUAUUUUGCUUCGUCAGCUUAUAUAUUGGUUAUGUUUGUUUGCCUGUUUGCAUUAGAAAUCUCCUGCUGUGAAGGUUACUCAUUUUAAAGGCUGCUUGGGAGAGGCCUUCCUGAAUGGAAAAUCCAUCGGCCUAUGGAACUAUAUUGAAAGGGAAGGCAAGUGCCGUGGGUGCUUUGGAAGCUCCCAGAAUGAAGACCCUUCCUUCCAUUUUGACGGGAGUGGGUACUCUGUCGUGGAGAAGUCACUUCCGGCUACCGUGACCCAGAUAAUCAUGCUUUUUAAUACCUUUUCACCUAACGGACUUCUUCUCUACCUGGGUUCAUACGGCACAAAAGACUUUUUAUCCAUCGAGCUGUUUCACGGC